UUUGAGUUUUGAGCAGUCGGACACUUUUAGCUUUACCAAACGUUUUAACUCGCCAAUGCUGCUUGGAAGUGUUGCAAGGUUUUGCAUGCCAAUCAAAUCUAGUUCUGUAAGACAAGACUGGUGCUGAAUAAUAGCUGAUGGUAGUUUCCUUAUCCCAGAACGUUGCACUUGAAUCUUUAUCUCUGGCUUCAAUUUUCCCCGGAUCUUCGGGAAUUUCUCUAAAUUAGAGCAACCUUGUAGAUAUAGACAUUCAAGAGAUUCCCAGCAAACAUAGCUAAA
Molecule: unclassified non-coding RNA, 279 nt
Filed under: Hevea brasiliensis (rubber tree)
Lineage: Eukaryota; Viridiplantae; Streptophyta; Magnoliopsida; Malpighiales; Euphorbiaceae
Source: RNAcentral